GGUAGAAUGGCUGAGUUAGGCAUUAGACUGUAAAUCUAAAAACAGAGGUGGUCACCUCUUUCUAUCA
RNAcentral lists this transfer RNA (67 nucleotides) under Prolemur simus (greater bamboo lemur). RNAcentral describes it as "tRNA-Tyr". It matches the Rfam family "tRNA". From Rfam's summary of the family: Transfer RNA (tRNA) molecules are approximately 80 nucleotides in length. Their secondary structure includes four short double-helical elements and three loops (D, anti-codon, and T loops). The record is from RNAcentral. Lineage: Eukaryota; Metazoa; Chordata; Mammalia; Primates; Lemuridae.